RNAcentral lists this ribosomal RNA (561 nucleotides) under Sassia subdistorta. RNAcentral describes it as "partial 12S ribosomal RNA". It matches the Rfam family "Bacterial small subunit ribosomal RNA", at positions 578 to 1384 of the family's 1533-position model. The record is from RNAcentral. Lineage: Eukaryota; Metazoa; Mollusca; Gastropoda; Littorinimorpha; Ranellidae.
AGAGAUUAAAUUAUACAUAUUAGGGUAAAAAGGCAGUUAAAUAUUAAAUCACUAUGAAGCAUUAGUUUAUUAAUUUCUUAUAUAGAAGUAAAAUUUAUACAUAAGAAAAUAACUCAAAAUAAACUAAUAUAUUGACUCUGCGAUAGCCUUGAGGGAAACUGGGAUUAGAUACCCCAUUAUUCUUGGCCGUAAAUUGAUGAAAAUCUACCGGAGUACUACGAAUUAGAGAAUAGAAUUUGAAACUCAAAGGGCUUGGCGGUGUUUUAGACCUCUCAGGGGAACCUGUCUCAUAAUCGACAAUCCACGUUAAACCUAACCUUUUUUUGCAUAUCAGUAUGUAUACCGUCGUCAUCAGGUAACUUAUAAAAAAUUAGAAGUUAGCAAUAAAACAAUUGUAAAUUUAAAUGUCAGAUCAAGGUGCAGCUUAUAGAAAGGUGAGGAUGGGUUACAAUUAAAAUUUAUAACUACGGAUAAAAUAGUGAAAUAUAUAUUUUAAUGAAGGAGGACUUGAAAGUAAAAUAAUUUGUAUAUAAAUAAUUUGAAUAAGGCUCUGAAACAUGU